Molecule: unclassified non-coding RNA, 377 nt
Filed under: uncultured Oligoflexaceae bacterium
Lineage: Bacteria; Pseudomonadati; Bdellovibrionota; Oligoflexia; Oligoflexales; Oligoflexaceae
Description: contains 16S-23S intergenic spacer region
Source: RNAcentral
UCCGGUUUAACACCGGCAGUCUCCCUAGAGUGCCCAACUUAAUGCUGGCAACUAAGAACAGGGGUUGCGCUCGUUGCCGGACUUAACCGAACAUCUUACGACACGAGCUGACGACAGCCAUGCAGCACCUAUCACCAAGUCUCCGAAGAGAACACCCUAUCUCUAGGGCUGUCUUGGGAUGUUAAGGCCAGGUAAGGUUCUGCGCGUUGCUUCGAAUUAAACCACAUACUCCACCGCUUGUGCGGGCCCCCGUCAAUUCCUUUGAGUUUUAGCCUUGCGACCGUAGUCCCCAGGCGGGAUACUUAAUGCGUGUGCUUUGGUACCCAGACGGUUAAACAUCCGAACACCUAGUAUCCAUCGUUUACGGCAUGGACUAC